AUGUUUCAUGUCAAUCUCAUUUCUGGUUGAAUUUAACACUUAAUACAUGAAACUUAGUUUAGUAUUUUUAUCAACUUUUUUCCUCCAGCAAGAAGCAAGUGAACAAUUGCUCUAGUUUCAGAAGUAGGGUAUGCCAUUUUGGACAAUAAACUGGCAUGUCUACUUGCACUUUUAAAACCUGACUCCUGGCUUCAGGUUUGGAGCUUUGGAUUCCUUACUGAAAUUACAAUAUAGAGUUUGGAGCUUCUAAUUGUUGCGACUGUUAAUUAAGAAAACAAGUAAUAGACCUUUAUAUGUCCUGCUAAAGUCGAACAACCAAUCAAUGUUCAUCUAACGCAAGCAAGUGAAUCCUAAGAAUUUCGAGAUGAAAUCAACACAACUUCAAUGGUGUGAUGUCUAGCUUAUGUCAUUUCUGCAGUAGCUUGUGAUCAAUCAGUUUCUAUGGUGGAUCAAAGAAAGUAAAAAUCUCUAAAACUUAUUUCUUGAACUUUAGAGAUCAGGAGGUGCUCUGCUUAUAAAUUUUGAAAGAGAAGGCUUGCUGGAUCUGAUAAGUUCAAGGCCAUUACCAAAUCAACAAAAAGUUCUCACAUCCCUUAAAAAGAAAGAAAAGGGAAGACAGGGCAAGAAAUCUCUUGAAGCAAAUGGAUGAGAUUGAAAAACAUUACAUCACUGCAGAAAUUUGUCAGUUGUAAUUGUACUCUUGUAUCAAUUGUUUCACGUAUUUUUACAACUGUGUCAAUUUCAUAUUUUAUUUUUCUUUGUUUUGCAGGUGAUCUAGCUGUAGGGUUGGAAAAUUAAGUUCACUA
Long non-coding RNA from Pistacia vera, 806 nucleotides. RefSeq lists it as uncharacterized. The transcript has 5 exons. Lineage: Eukaryota; Viridiplantae; Streptophyta; Magnoliopsida; Sapindales; Anacardiaceae. The record is from RefSeq and is a predicted model, not a curated record.